This is a long non-coding RNA of Oxyura jamaicensis (ruddy duck), 595 nucleotides long. RefSeq lists it as uncharacterized. The transcript is spliced from 3 exons. NCBI's taxonomy places the organism in Eukaryota, Metazoa, Chordata, Aves, Anseriformes, Anatidae. The record is from RefSeq and is a predicted model, not a curated record.
AUUUCUAGAUAAACACACAUGGAAUAUACACUGUAAUUUCUGUAUGGACAAGAUGGACUGGGACCUGUGGAAUUAAUUUUAUCAUCCUUCUUAGCAGAAAGCUGAGCUGUUUAACAAAGGAAAAGAAGGGGAAUAAAAACAAACUGCCUUCAGUCUUUCUGCUGGGACUGAAGAUGGAAGUGUAAAUGGCAUGAAAAUGGAAUUAUCCAUCAAAAAUAAGGGGUGAUCUCUCCAAGUCAGGUAUGUGAGUUUGGGUGGGCUACAGCAAAUGGCUUGAUGUGUUUGGGGGAUUUCACUCCCUGUCCUUCUUCUCCCACUACUGUAGAACAUUUAUCCUUUCAGAAAGUAAAGGAAGGCUGGUAUAAAUUAGGAAUGGUAAUGUAAAAGCUUAUACCCACUGCAUGAAAGUCUUUCAAAUUAAUAUAAGCAUUAAAUUCCCAAAGUUUUUUCCAUAUACUGCAAAUAUUAAACAUGACAUGCCUGCUAGGGUUGGUAUAAAGUUUUGUCAGCAUUUUUGGCAUACAAGUUCUCAGCCUGGGGUCAAUAUUUUGUUGACCAAAUUUUGAUGUUUCAGUUGCCUUUUUACACUCAAAUA